This 112-nucleotide ribosomal RNA is filed under the name Lepisosteus oculatus (spotted gar). Lineage: Eukaryota; Metazoa; Chordata; Actinopteri; Semionotiformes; Lepisosteidae. The record is from RNAcentral.
GCCAACAGUCAUAUCACCCUGCAACUGGCAACCCACUGAAGCUCAGCAGGUGUGAGCCUGGUCAGUACCUGAAUGGGAGACCUCCUGGGAAAAACUAAGGUUGCUGCUGGAA